Molecule: long non-coding RNA, 218 nt
Organism: Thamnophis elegans (Western terrestrial garter snake)
Lineage: Eukaryota; Metazoa; Chordata; Lepidosauria; Squamata; Natricidae
Exons: 3
Source: RefSeq, a predicted model, not a curated record
GCCAAGCAGUGAAGCCUCUCCCCGCCGGUUCUUGUAUUACAGUGCUUGCUUCUUUUGCAUAUUGUAUUACACAGGUUUGGUUCUCUCUACCCUUCUGUUUAACAUCUGCAGGAAGCCUCUGGAUGAGAGCAUCUGUCACCAUGGGAAGGUGGCAAAAAGUGAUCACAUGACCCCAAGGCACUGCAACCUUGAGAAAAAUGAGUCACAUGACCAUGGGG